GCCACACCCAGACUCCUGACCCACAGAAACUGUGAGAUAACAAAUGCGUGUUGUUUUAAGCUGCUGUUUUAAGCUGUUGUUUUAAGUUUGUGAUGACUUCGGUUUACAGGAAUAACCAGCAUGCGAUGCCGAGAAGGAGAUUCCUGCCUUGGAAGGAGAUCUGUCUUUCCCCCUUCCGGGGCCCACGGCGAAGACAAAAAGAGAACAUUUAUGAGUACCUGUGACAUGCAAUGCACUGCACCUCGUGCUGGGGGUGCAGGGCAAGGUGUCAACCCCCGAAGAGUGCUCAGACCUGUGGGGCAACAAGCCUGUAACCAAACCGAAGGCGUGGUGCUCCACAGAAGAGCGUGUGAAGAAUCCAACCUCUCCCGUCACCAGCACUUGCCAGAUCUUCGCUCAGUCAACUCUUCGGAUCUUUGCUGGGAGACCACAGGGUUUUCAACGUCAGCCUCCGGCCACCUCCUCGAUUUUGCCUGAGGCACUGGUUGGAGCCUUCCCCUGUGUGGCUCUCCACGGGGUCAGAACACCUGGGACUCAGUCCGUGAAGCAGGAUCCCACCAGGUGGAGGUGCAGGAGACAGUACUGAUGAGUGAGUACCUGGGAGCAACCCUCAGCCAGGUGUGCGCAGGCCAUUGGUGCACCACCGUAGCUUGUGCUGUCUGCCGGAGCUCCCAAGCGGGAUGGAGCGCCUGGCGAUCAUGGUGAUAAUUGUAUGAAUAAGGCAUUUUUAUUGGUUGCCUUCCUGUCCUCAUCUCCUGUCCCCACUCCUGGAUUCCUCUCCCAAUUCAAUGACUUGCAGUCAACUCCUCGUCUCAAAGUCUGCCUUCUGGGGAGCCCAGCUGUGGGCUGCACAGAUGAGAAAAUCCACCCAAAUGGACUCCAUGGCCAGGAAGUGAGUGAGCCCUUGAUGGAUAGCCAAGGUCCUUGUCUCUGUUAGAGUGGAUUGUGGCAAAAUUGGUGGUUAUCAGUCUGUUUUGAGGGGCCCAUCUCCCCACAAGGAGAAGUGAGCUAGAAGCAAAGACAGAGACCGCUUCAUUUUAGGACAGUUUCCUUCCUCUAUCCACAGCUCAGCAUCAGAUAGAAGCCUGGGGCGUUUAUCUGUUGAGCAUGGGACGCAGCUUGGACAGUGGUUUGCUUUCCUCUCUGAAAUGCACUUUUCCAAGGCCAAAUCGCAGAUAAGCAGCUUCCCCCUGGAGUACCCCUGUUUUAUGCGGGGUAGGGAGGGCCGUGGGUGCGAUUAUGCUGGUCUGGAAGCACACAUUGACUUUAGAUAGUCCACACAGUGCAUGCUCAGUGGAAAAUCGAGAGGUGUUGUGCAUCUUGAGUCACCACCCUCUCUCACCACAGGGUCAAUCAUGAGGGGAGGAAGGGGAGGCAGAGGGAGGAAUGGAACCUGAUGCUGUCGGUGAACCUGAACAUGGACAGAGUGUGGGGGGCUCAGUGGAGUCCACAGAAGCCCCCUCCCAGAAUAAGGAGGCUGCUGGCCGGAGCUGAGUGCAGGGAGGGAGGCAUCUUAUCAGCUCCCGGACCACACUUGCCGUCCUUCCCUCUGGAGGCACCACCCAUUUGCUGUGUGCCAGUAGCAGCAUCAUUGAGACCAGAUUAAAAAUGUCUGUGCCCUUUAAAGGUGGGAUGUUUUAUUUUUUUAUUUGA
This 1653-nucleotide long non-coding RNA is filed under the name Homo sapiens (human). RNAcentral's name for it is "HSALNT0391860". The record is from RNAcentral. Lineage: Eukaryota; Metazoa; Chordata; Mammalia; Primates; Hominidae.